GACGAACGCUGGCGGCGCGCUUAACACAUGCAAGUCGAGCGAAGCGGCGGACGGGUGAGUAACACGUGAGUAACCUGCCUUAGACAUUGGGAUAGCCUCGGGAAACCGGGUUUAAUACCAAAUGGUCUAAGAUGGACUCGCGUCCCAUUAGCUAGUUGGUGAGGUAACGGCCCACCAAGGCGACGAUGGGUAGCCGGCCUGAGAGGGUGACCGGCAACAUUGGAACGGAGAAACGGUCCAAACUCUACGGGUGGCAGCAGGGGGGAAUAGUGCACAAUGGAGGGAACUCUGAGGCAGGGACGCGGCGUGAACGAAGAAGGCUUUAGAGUCGUAAAGUGCUUUUAUAUGGGAAGCGGUACCAUAAGAAAAAGCCCCGGCUAACUACGUGCCAGCAGCCGCGGUAAGUC
Molecule: ribosomal RNA, 407 nt
Filed under: uncultured bacterium
Lineage: Bacteria
Description: partial 16S ribosomal RNA
Rfam family: Bacterial small subunit ribosomal RNA
Source: RNAcentral